RNAcentral lists this ribosomal RNA (314 nucleotides) under uncultured bacterium. RNAcentral describes it as "bacterial SSU rRNA". It matches the Rfam family "Bacterial small subunit ribosomal RNA", at positions 28 to 333 of the family's 1533-position model. The record is from RNAcentral.
GAUGAACGCUAGCGGCAGGCUUAAUACAUGCAAGUCGAGGGGGCAGCAUGACCGUAGCAAUACGGUUGAUGGCGACCGGCAAACGGGUGCGGAACACGUACACAACCUUCCUUCGAGCGGGGAAUAGCCCGGGGAAACCCGGAUUAAUACCCCAUAGUAUAUUGAAGAGGCAUCUCUUUACUAUUAAAGAUUUAUCACUUGAAGAUGGGUGGUGCGGCUGAUUAGCUAGUGGCGGGGUAACGGGCCCACCAAGGCAACGAUCAGUAACUGGUGUGAGAGCACGACCAGUCACACGGGCACUGAGACACGGGCCC